This 474-nucleotide ribosomal RNA is filed under the name Segatella oris. Its description in RNAcentral is "bacterial SSU rRNA". It matches the Rfam family "Bacterial small subunit ribosomal RNA", at positions 28 to 490 of the family's 1533-position model. Lineage: Bacteria; Pseudomonadati; Bacteroidota; Bacteroidia; Bacteroidales; Prevotellaceae. The record is from RNAcentral.
GAUGAACGCUGGCUACAGGCUUAACACAUGCAAGUCGAGGGGAAACGACGGGGAAGCUUGCUUCCCCGGGCGUCGACCGGCGCACGGGUGAGUAACGCGUAUCCAACCUGCCUCUGACUGAGGGAUAACCCGUCGAAAGUCGGCCUAAUACCUCAUGGUAUCGUCUGCGGGCAUCCAACGACGAUUAAAGAUUUCAUCGGUCAGAGAUGGGGAUGCGUCUGAUUAGCUUGUUGGCGGGGUAACGGCCCACCAAGGUUACGAUCAGUAGGGGUUCUGAGAGGAAGGUCCCCCACAUUGGAACUGAGACACGGUCCAAACUCCUACGGGAGGCAGCAGUGAGGAAUAUUGGUCAAUGGGCGAGAGCCUGAACCAGCCAAGUAGCGUGCAGGAUGACGGCCCUAUGGGUUGUAAACUGCUUUUAUGCGGGGAUAAAGUGAGGGACGUGUCCUUCAUUGCAGGUACCGCAUGAAUAAG